RNAcentral lists this ribosomal RNA (496 nucleotides) under uncultured bacterium. Its description in RNAcentral is "partial 16S ribosomal RNA". It matches the Rfam family "Bacterial small subunit ribosomal RNA", at positions 29 to 507 of the family's 1533-position model. The record is from RNAcentral.
AUGAACGCUGGCGGCGUGCCUAAUACAUGCAAGUCGAGCGAACGGACGAGAAGCUUGCUUCUCUGAUGUUAGCGGCGGACGGGUGGGUAACACGUGGAUAACCUACCUAUAAGACUGGGAUAAUUUCGGGAAACCGGAGCUAAUACCGGAUAAUAUUUUGAACCGCAUGGUUCAAAAGUGAAAGACGGUCUUGCUGUCACUUAUAGAUGGAUCCGCGCUGCAUUAGCUAGUUGGUAAGGUAACGGCUUACCAAGGCAACGAUGCAUAGCCGACCUGAGAGGGUGAUCGGCCACACUGGAACUGAGACACGGUCCAGACUCCUACGGGAGGCAGCAGUAGGGAAUCUUCCGCAAUGGGCGAAAGCCUGACGGAGCAACGCCGCGUGAGUGAUGAAGGUCUUCGGAUCGUAAAACUCUGUUAUUAGGGAAGAACAUAUGUGUAAGUAACUGUGCACAUCUUGACGGUACCUAAUCAGAAAGCCACGGCUAACUACGUG